AUCCAUCUGACCAGUCCCAAACACGACGAAAUGCACUUCCUGGAU
This 45-nucleotide non-coding RNA is filed under the name Schistosoma bovis. The record is from RNAcentral. RNAcentral also lists the same sequence under 1 other name. Lineage: Eukaryota; Metazoa; Platyhelminthes; Trematoda; Strigeidida; Schistosomatidae.